UCCGACAACCCUUGAGAGAGGUUGUAGUGGAUACCACUGCUUACUGGGUUAACACAAGGAAAAUGGUGGUGAAUGGCUUUCUCAGACCUAUGGAAUACUGAUUUUGCUCUUGGUUAGGCUCUGGCAUUGAAGAUAAAUCAUCAUUAUGAGACAUAAGGAACCUCUGCAUCGCUUGGCUAUUGGUUGGCUCUGGAAUUCCUGAUUUGGAAUUCAUUUGGAUUAACUACGCGGGAUCAUUGCAAUUUGAAACCAAAAGCCAGACUUCUUGGUGUGCUUGGGCUCCUUCCCACGACCUGUUGACUUGGUUCUUCUCUGAAACCCUGUGGAUAUUAUACAUAAUAGAGACCAGGAGGAGAGACAGAGAGACAGAGAGAAAGAGAAAUAGAGAGAGAGAGGCACAGAGAGAGAGAGAGAAAUAACGUACAGUAAUUAUUUAUUCUGGUAAGCCGGCUCAAACACUCUGCCACAGCACUACAGGAAGUUUCCCUUAGACUGCUGCCUGUCAGGCCUGACCACAAGGCAUGAACUCCCUUUCAAAGAGCACAAAGAGCAGGGGGAAGCAGCGACAGCGUUCUGCGGGAGACGGUGUUGACGCGGCCCUAUAUUGCCCCCUCCAUGGGGUACGGCUCGGCCAUCUCUGAGAUAUGGAUGGCCAAUGGUGGGACCAUGCAUCUUGGCAUAGCGAGGCCUUGUCUAUGCACCCGAUGACAUGGCAAACCGUCCAAAGAUGGCGAGCGCCUGAUUGGGCGGAUUAUACUAAACAAGAGGAUGAAGGAUGGAACAGUGCCCCGAGACACAGGAGCUCUGCUGGGACU
Molecule: long non-coding RNA, 815 nt
Organism: Oncorhynchus nerka (sockeye salmon)
Lineage: Eukaryota; Metazoa; Chordata; Actinopteri; Salmoniformes; Salmonidae
Exons: 3
Source: RefSeq, a predicted model, not a curated record